Oncorhynchus tshawytscha (Chinook salmon) is the source of this 1572-nucleotide long non-coding RNA. Lineage: Eukaryota; Metazoa; Chordata; Actinopteri; Salmoniformes; Salmonidae. The record is from Ensembl.
CUUUCCCUGUCCCCUCUCCCCCCUCUCGUUAUCUUUCCCUCUCUCUCCCCCAUCUCGUUCUCUCUCUCUCUCUCUCUCUCUCUCUCUCUCUCCCUCUCUCUCUCCUAGUGCACAGUGUGACUCACAUGCUAGGAAUGUGGUGGGCUGGCCCUAGAACUAUUAAUAUCAGCUUUCCUGGGGUCCGCUAAGUUUCCUUGGGCUGCAGCUCAGCCUCUAGACACUACCUUUAUUAUAGGCAUUAACAACAUCCCCCUAUUUGGACUUUUCCCUAGGAACAAGAUGUUUAGGCCGUACCCAUGACUUGCUGUGUGUGUGUGUGUGUGUGUGUGUGUGUGUGUGUGUGUGUGUGUGUGUCUUGGAUGGGUUCUGGUCUGCUGCUACUAAUUUCCACCAGACAGUUUCAAAUAGACAAGAUAUGUCCAAGCCCUGUAGGAAAUCUCUUCUUUGAAUAACACACUAACCUUUUCCCAGAUUUCCUAAUCAGAUCAACGGGCAAUUCUGCUGACAGAACAGUGUUGCCUUUCCAACACAACAAUAAUGUGGAGCAAAUGUCUUGACAUUUCCUCAUGAGCUGUUUCAAAACGAUUUAGUUGCUCAAAAACAUUUUCCACACACACACACACACACACACACACACACACACACACAAAACAUUCUACGUGGCAUUCACAUGGCGUCAAGACUACAGCAUAUGAGAACCAUACAGAGUAUGGAACACCCCCAAAGAACAGCCCACUAAACAGGGGUCUCCAACCACGUCAUUGGGCGGAUACAUGGGGAAUUCCUCACCAAGACGCCCCGUGAAGGAUUAAAAGCAUGGAAAGGACUUUGGAUAUAUUUAACUUUGAAUGAGCGCCAUCUAAUGGACAUAAAUAUUUUUUGUAAAGAUGUUUUCUAUUUUUCAGAAACACGACGAUGUUACGUCGGCCUGUAGGAGGUAUGAACGCACCAUUUGCACUAGAAUUCGAACGUAGAAGAAGAAGUUAUUUUUGCAAUAGCAGAGAGGAAGAGGCGAAGCAAGAGGGUUUACUCGGACCAAAAUCUGCCCAGGAAAAUAAGAUCACGAAGUGAGGAAUUUUUGUAUAGAGGUCAACGAGUGUCGAAUUUGUUCAACAACUGUAAUUGCUAAUUUGCUACGUGAGGCUUAUUUAAUCGAAUCUAUGAAAAAAAUACUUUAUAUCGGAGUUGUAGCUGUUGUUGACACAAGAAUACAUGUAUUUGUUGAUUCACCUUUUUUGUUGAUUUUGUAUGUACUAGACAAAGAACUGCUUUUGAUUGAAAUGAAUGUCACAUGCUAUGAGAACAGUGUUGUUCCCUAAAACAGUUUGGUUUGUUUAUCUUUGGUCAGUACAGGUGCAUCAAAGCACGGACCGAGAGACUGAAAAACAGCUUCUAUCUCAAGGCCAUCAGACUGUUAAACAGCCACCACUAACAUUGAGUGGCUGCUGCCAUACAUGUAAAAAAUGUACCACUAGCCACUUUAAACAAUGACACUUAAUAUAAUGUUUACAUACCAUACAUUACUCAUCUCAUAUGUAUAUACUGUACUCGAUACCAUAUACUGCAUCUUGC